AGCAGCCGCGGUAAUUCCAGCUCCAAUAGCGUAUAUUAAAGUUGUUGCAGUUAAAAAGCUCGUAGUUGAAUUUCGAGACCGGUUUACUGGUCGUGCUUUUGUACGUACUGGUAUUAUUGGUUUCUCCUUUCUGACGAAUCAUAAUGCCAUUAAUUUGGUGUUUUGGGGAAUCAGGACUGUUACUUUGAAAAAAUUAGAGUGUUUAAAGCAGGCUCACGCUUGAAUACAUUAGCAUGGAAUAACGAAAUAGGACGUUUGAUUUUAUUUUGUUGGUUUCUAGGAUCGACGUAAUGAUUAAUAGGGAUAGUUGGGGGCAUUAGUAUUCAAUUGUCAGAGGUGAAAUUCUUGGAUUUAUUGAAGGCUAACUACUGCGAAAGCAUUUGCCAAGGAUGUUUUCAUUAAUCAAGAACGAAAGUUAGGGGAUCGAAGACGAUCAGAUACCGUCGUAGUCUUAACCAUAAACUAUGCCGACUAGGGAUCGGAUGAUGUUAAUUUUUAAUGUACUCAUUCGGCGCCUUAC
This 520-nucleotide small RNA is filed under the name uncultured Glomus. RNAcentral describes it as "SSU rRNA". It matches the Rfam family "Eukaryotic small subunit ribosomal RNA", at positions 569 to 1091 of the family's 1831-position model. Lineage: Eukaryota; Fungi; Glomeromycota; Glomeromycetes; Glomerales; Glomeraceae. The record is from RNAcentral.